This 307-nucleotide long non-coding RNA is filed under the name Trifolium pratense (red clover). RNAcentral's name for it is "long non-coding RNA (TPRA_LNC005848)". The record is from RNAcentral. Lineage: Eukaryota; Viridiplantae; Streptophyta; Magnoliopsida; Fabales; Fabaceae.
AAAAUGAUAAGUUCAAGAGAGAUGUAAACUCAAAGUUGGAUAUGUUGGUUGUUGACAUGAAGCUUAUAAAAUACUUUGUAUUUGCUUGUAUUGUGAUUCAACUUUUGUAUAUGGUUGUUCACAAGUAGGGUUGUUGAUUAGUGAUUGAAAUUAGUGAGUGUAAUAUUGUUGAUUAGUGAGUGUAAUGUUAUUGAUUAGUGAAUGUGAUGUAUUUUAGCUUUAACCAAAACAUAUUUGUGCUCCACAUAUGACUCCAAUAGAGAGUGCUAAUGGUGUUGCUAAACUAGUUAAGAGAUCUUGUGCUCUU